UUUCCGUAGGUGAACCAGCGGAAGGAUCAUUACAGAGAUCGUGCCCUUCGGGGUAGACCUCCCACCCUGUGUUAUUUACGUAUGUUGCUUUGGCGGGCCGCCUCCGGGCUCUCGGCUUCGGCCGAGGUGUGCCCGCCAGAGAACCCACAACCCUGUGUUUAGUGUCGUCUGAGUAUUAUCAAAUAAGUUAAAACUUUCAACAACGGAUCUCUUGGUUCUG
Molecule: unclassified non-coding RNA, 220 nt
Filed under: plant metagenome
Description: partial contains small subunit ribosomal RNA, internal transcribed spacer 1, and 5.8S ribosomal RNA
Source: RNAcentral